Molecule: ribosomal RNA, 462 nt
Filed under: Bacillus mobilis
Lineage: Bacteria; Bacillati; Bacillota; Bacilli; Caryophanales; Bacillaceae
Description: bacterial SSU rRNA
Rfam family: Bacterial small subunit ribosomal RNA
Source: RNAcentral
GAUUAAGAGCUUGCUCUUAUGAAGUUAGCGGCGGACGGGUGAGUAACACGUGGGUAACCUACCCAUAAGACUGGGAUAACUCCGGGAAACCGGGGCUAAUACCGGAUAAUAUUUUGAACUGCAUAGUUCGAAAUUGAAAGGCGGCUUCGGCUGUCACUUAUGGAUGGACCCGCGUCGCAUUAGCUAGUUGGUGAGGUAACGGCUCACCAAGGCGACGAUGCGUAGCCGACCUGAGAGGGUGAUCGGCCACACUGGGACUGAGACACGGCCCAGACUCCUACGGGAGGCAGCAGUAGGGAAUCUUCCGCAAUGGACGAAAGUCUGACGGAGCAACGCCGCGUGAGUGAUGAAGGCUUUCGGGUCGUAAAACUCUGUUGUUAGGGAAGAACAAGUGCUAGUUGAAUAAGCUGGCACCUUGACGGUACCUAACCAGAAAGCCACGGCUAACUACGUGCCAGCAGC